UACGGGGGGGGCAAGCGUUGUUCGGAAUUACUGGGCGUAAAUGGCUCGUAGGUGGCCAACUAAGUCAGACGUGAAAUCCCUCAGCUUAACUGGGGAACUGCGUCUGAUACUGGAUGGCUUGAGUUUGGGAGAGGGACGCGGAAUUCCAGGUGUAGCGGUGAAAUGCGUAGAUAUCUGGAGGAACACCGGUGGCGAAGGCGGCGUCCUGGACCAACACUGACACUGAUGAGCGAAAGCCAGGGGAGCAAACGGG
RNAcentral lists this ribosomal RNA (253 nucleotides) under uncultured bacterium. Its description in RNAcentral is "partial 16S ribosomal RNA". It matches the Rfam family "Bacterial small subunit ribosomal RNA", at positions 524 to 776 of the family's 1533-position model. The record is from RNAcentral.